Molecule: unclassified non-coding RNA, 357 nt
Filed under: Hevea brasiliensis (rubber tree)
Lineage: Eukaryota; Viridiplantae; Streptophyta; Magnoliopsida; Malpighiales; Euphorbiaceae
Source: RNAcentral
UUUUUUAUGAAAUAAAGGUCAAUCAAUCUGGAAAAUCAACUCCUACUUCACGGGGCAUCUAUUUGAGGGAGGCUAGUGCUUGCCAACUACCUACAGAGUGGACAGUGCAAGUUGAGCCUAAGUUUCAUGAAGGUGCAAGUAAUUUGGAAGAAUUGGUUCCCUUUGAGGAGUGCAUUGAGUUACAUUCUACUGAAAAGUCAGUUGUGAUGGCUCCAGAGUACCUCCUCCUUACUCAUAAUGGGCGUAGCUUCAAUGUAGUGAUCGAUCCUACCAAGUUAAGUGAUGGUUUACAUUAUUAUGAAGUCUAUGGAGUUGAUUGCAAAGCACCAUGGCGUGGUCCCAUUUUCAGGAUUCCAG